RNAcentral lists this ribosomal RNA (253 nucleotides) under uncultured bacterium. RNAcentral describes it as "partial 16S ribosomal RNA". It matches the Rfam family "Bacterial small subunit ribosomal RNA", at positions 524 to 776 of the family's 1533-position model. The record is from RNAcentral.
UACGAAGGGGGCUAGCGUUGCUCGGAAUCACUGGGCGUAAAGCGCACGUAGGCGGACUCUUAAGUCGGUGGUGAAAUCCUGGAGCUCAACUCCAGAACUGCCUUCGAUACUGAGAGUCUUGAGUCCGAGAGAGGUGAGUGGAACUGCGAGUGUAGAGGUGAAAUUCGUAGAUAUUCGGAGGAACACCAGUGGCGAAGGCGGCUCACUGGCUCGAUACUGACGCUGAGGUGCGAAAGCGUGGGGAGCAAACAGG